Small nucleolar RNA from Andrographis paniculata, 107 nucleotides. NCBI's taxonomy places the organism in Eukaryota, Viridiplantae, Streptophyta, Magnoliopsida, Lamiales, Acanthaceae. The record is from RefSeq and is a predicted model, not a curated record.
AUCUGAUGUUGAGGACACCUUGCACACAGACAGUUGAAUCGCUCCCAGUACUCAUGUAAUGUCUCACCUGGUUGUUGUUUAAUCCCACGGAUUUCAUUCCUCAAUGU